AAUAAAUCAAUUUUUCACUUUUUACCUACAUUUUUUUACUCUUCGUCUUAUUCAAAAAAAAUUUGCGAUUGAUAUUUUUGUUUUUAUUGGAUGAUAAAUCAUAAAUAGUAUUUUACAUGUGACUAAUUUUUUUCUAAUUUUCUAAAAGUUUUUCAAAUAAGACGGAUGGUCAAACGUUGAACAUAGAAACU
This 191-nucleotide microRNA precursor is filed under the name Oryza brachyantha (malo sina). Its description in RNAcentral is "MIR812 microRNA precursor family". It matches the Rfam family "MIR812 microRNA precursor family". The record is from Rfam by way of RNAcentral. Lineage: Eukaryota; Viridiplantae; Streptophyta; Magnoliopsida; Poales; Poaceae.